Non-coding RNA from Schistosoma margrebowiei, 46 nucleotides. The record is from Rfam. Lineage: Eukaryota; Metazoa; Platyhelminthes; Trematoda; Strigeidida; Schistosomatidae.
GCACUGCUGAAGAGUCCCAUACCAGGACGAAACGGCCGUCCAGUGC